Molecule: long non-coding RNA, 486 nt
Organism: Clupea harengus (Atlantic herring)
Lineage: Eukaryota; Metazoa; Chordata; Actinopteri; Clupeiformes; Clupeidae
Source: Ensembl
AGAUACAGCCAGCUGUGAGGACGAGUUUGACAGCAGCGCAUGGAAACCGCGAUGGGAAUAUCAAAUAGGUGGUAGCAGUUCAGCCUCAGCACCACCGCACAUCAAUUUUAAUACUGCAUACUCUCAAAACUUCCCUGGCGUACCCACAAUGUAAAAAGAGCCUGAGAUUUUGGAAUUACGUAGAAUGUCAGCGCUGAGAAAGGUGUUGCCGAGCAUACUGCAGAAGCAUUGCUGUAUCUUACCUGACAGAAACACAGUGGACCUGGGCUGGGAGGAUGUCAGGUACCAUCCUUUCUGCUGAUACCAGACCAGUGAUUCAUGGAGUGACGAGACUGAACUGGAUCGACUGACGAGAACGGAGUGACCAGACUGACUGGAUGGAUUGACGAGAAUGAACAAAAGGUUUCGGCUGGCUGCAGCUCCUUCUCUUUGGUGAUGGGCAGACGGUGAGAUCUGGGCCGUCGAGCGGAGUGGGUCGGCGCGGGG